CAAGUCGAACGGCAGCAUAGGAGCUUGCUCCUGAUGGCGAGUGGCGAACGGGUGAGUAAUAUAUCGGAACGUGCCCUAGAGUGGGGGAUAACUAGUCGAAAGACUAGCUAAUACCGCAUACGAUCUACGGAUGAAAGUGGGGGAUCGCAAGACCUCAUGCUCCUGGAGCGGCCGAUAUCUGAUUAGCUAGUUGGUGGGGUAAAAGCCUACCAAGGCAACGAUCAGUAGCUGGUCUGAGAGGACGACCAGCCACACUGGGACUGAGACACGGCCCAGACUCCUACGGGAGGCAGCAGUGGGGAAUUUUGGACAAUGGGGGCAACCCUGAUCCAGCAAUGCCGCGUGAGUGAAGAAGGCCUUCGGGUUGUAAAGCUCUUUUGUCAGGGAAGAAACGGUAGUAGCGAAUAACUAUUACUAAUGACGGUACCUGAAGAAUAAGCACCGGCUAACUACGUGCCAGCAGCCGCGGU
Molecule: ribosomal RNA, 470 nt
Filed under: uncultured bacterium
Lineage: Bacteria
Description: bacterial SSU rRNA
Rfam family: Bacterial small subunit ribosomal RNA
Source: RNAcentral